CAGGAGGAAACAGGCUCAGAGCAGACACAGAGCUUGAUGAAGUUACAUAGCCACGAAGUGACGGGGUCUGACCAUCAAACCAGAGCCUGCAGUCCUAACCACCACACUGCACUCUCCCUCUGGCUUAGUUUCCAAGAUGGACAAGAUACAGCCCUGGCGGUCCAAGGGCACAGAGCAUCAGAAGGACACAGAGCUGCUGUUCAGGGCCACUUCCUGCAGGAAGCUCUCCCUGAAUUCUUCUGCCAUCCCUUCUCAAGACUUGCAGUGCUGGGUAUGCAACCAACGUGUAAACGCUUCCCUGGUGCCAAGAAUUGCCCCCAGGGCACCCCUGAGGCACCCCCGGAGUUCCAGGGAGCACAGUUUGAAAGCACAGUAUUACAGGAGUGCGCGCCAUAAGCAGAAUGAAAAACGCUUUCUAAAAUCUACCUGCCCCCAACCAAACCUGGAUUGGAAGCUUCUUGAGGGCCAGCAGCACCUGGCGCCUGCUGAAAACACAAGUGUCUGUGAAGUGGAUGGAGGAGUGAAGCCUUUGUUUUCAUUUCCGAGGUCUGGCUCAGCUUCUCAGUCCCGGGACGCCCUCGCUGCAGUCCUUCAUGACCCUGUAAGGCAGGCGACAGUCUCCGGCUGCUCCCGGAUGGCGAGUUUGCGCUUUCCUUGCCUUUGUAUCAGAAUGAUUUGUGGCUUCUCAGGUGGAACGGCUGGUGAUAUAAUUAACAUUUCAAAACUUCGCAACCACAAAUUGAAUUUGUUUUGAAUAUUUGGGGAUGUUUAAACAGUAGCUUGAGUGUUAAAUUUGCACUUUAUGGGAG
This 809-nucleotide long non-coding RNA is filed under the name Equus caballus (horse). RNAcentral's name for it is "lncRNA (ENSECAG00000041038.2)". The record is from RNAcentral. Lineage: Eukaryota; Metazoa; Chordata; Mammalia; Perissodactyla; Equidae.